ACGGAAGGCAGCAGUGGGGGAUAUUGCACAAUGGGCGCAAGCCUGAUGUAGCAACGCCGCGUGCGGGAAGACGGCCUUCGGGUUGUAGACCGCUGUCCUUGGUGAAGAAACAAAUGACGGUAACCAUGGAGGAAGCCACGGCUAACUACGUGCCAGCAGCCGCGGUAAUACGUAGGUGGCAAGCGUUGUCCGGAAUUACUGGGUGUAAAGGGAGCGCAGGCGGGACUGCAAGUUGGAUGUGAAAUACCGGAGCUCAACUCCGGGGCUGCAUCCAAAACUGUAGUUCUUGAGUGGAGUAGAGGUAAGCGGAAUUCCGAGUGUAGCGGUGAAAUGCGUAGAUAUUCGGAGGAACACCAGUGGCGAAGGCGGCUUACUGGGCUCUAACUGACGCUGAGGCUCGAAAGCGUGGGGAGCGAACAGGAUUAGAUACCCUGGUA
This is a ribosomal RNA of 437 nucleotides. It matches the Rfam family "Bacterial small subunit ribosomal RNA", at positions 341 to 792 of the family's 1533-position model.